GUGAAAUUGUGUUUGUAUGUGUAAGGACUGCAAGGUGUGUUUCUGUGUAUGUAUGGGAUGCAUUGAAUGUGUGUAAGGGGUGCAUUGAGUGUGUGUAAUGAAUGCAUUGUGUGUUUCUGUGUGUGUAAGGGAUGCAUUGUGUGUAAUGGUUGCAUUGCUUGUGUAUGUGUGUCUGUGUGUUUUUCUGUGUGCAAGGGGUGCAUUGUGUGUAUGUGAUGAAUGUCAAUCUCUCCUCCCGCUCCAAUUUCCUUCUCCUCCUCCC
Pelobates cultripes (western spadefoot toad) is the source of this 262-nucleotide non-coding RNA. The record is from the annotation of a GenBank genome assembly. Lineage: Eukaryota; Metazoa; Chordata; Amphibia; Anura; Pelobatidae.